RNAcentral lists this ribosomal RNA (450 nucleotides) under uncultured bacterium. Its description in RNAcentral is "partial 16S ribosomal RNA". It matches the Rfam family "Bacterial small subunit ribosomal RNA", at positions 338 to 795 of the family's 1533-position model. The record is from RNAcentral.
CCUACGGGCGGCAGCAGUAAGGAAUAUUGGUCAAUGGGCGCAAGCCUGAACCAGUCAUGCCGCGUGAAGGAUGACGGCCCUAUGGGUUGUAAACUUCUUUUGUACGGGAAAAAACCUCUGGUCGUGAAUCAGAGCUGAUGGUACCGUAAGAAUAAGCAUCGGCUAACUCCGUGCCAGCAGCCGCGGUAAUACGGAGGAUGCGAGCGUUAUCCGGAUUCAGUGGGUUUAGGGGGUGCGCUAACUGAGUAAUGAAAGCCUACAGCUUAACUGUAGAACUGCCAUUGAUACUGUUAUUCUUGAGUGUUGUUGAGGUAGGCGGAAUGUGUCAUGUAGCGGUGAAAUGCUUAGAUAUGACACAGAACACCGAUCGCGAAGGCAGCUUACCAAGCAACAACUGACGCUCAUGCACGAAAGCGUGGGGAUCAAACAGGAUUAGAUACCCCGGUAGUC